GAUGAACGCUGGCGGCGUGCCUAAUACAUGCCAGUCGAGCGAACAGACGAGGAGCUUGCUCCUCUGACGUUAGCGGCGGACGGGUGAGUAACACGUGGAUAACCUACCUAUAAGACUGGGAUAACUUCGGGAAACCGGAGCUAAUACCGGAUAAUAUAUUGAACCGCAUGGUUCAAUAGUGAAAGACGGUUUUGCUGUCACUUAUAGAUGGAUCCGCGCCGCAUUAGCUAGUUGGUAAGGUAACGGCUUACCAAGGCAACGAUGCGUAGCCGACCUGAGAGGGUGAUCGGCCACACUGGAACUGAGACACGGUCCAGACUCCUACGGGAGGCAGCAGUAGGGAAUCUUCCGCAAUGGGCGAAAGCCUGACGGAGCAACGCCGCGUGAGUGAUGAAGGUCUUCGGAUCGUAAAACUCUGUUAUUAGGGAAGAACAAAGGUGUAAGUAACUAUGCACGUCUUGACGGUACCUAAUCAGAAAGCCACGGCUAACUACGUGC
Molecule: ribosomal RNA, 498 nt
Filed under: uncultured bacterium
Lineage: Bacteria
Description: partial 16S ribosomal RNA
Rfam family: Bacterial small subunit ribosomal RNA
Source: RNAcentral